AAUAAAAUAUCAUAGCAAAUUAGCCUCUUUAUAAAAAGUAAAGAAUGGAAAUUCAGGAUUGGAGGCAAGUAUAAAAUAUAUCAUAGAGAAAAUGACAAAUUCAAUUUUGACAGUGAGUUCAGCUUAAUCAAUUUAAACUAAUCCGAAUCAGUAACCAAAACAAAUCUUGAAUAUAAGUAUAUUUUGACUCUGAAAGUGAAAAUCAAUCCAGAGACAAACAAGAGAUCCAUCAGAAACAUAAGUUGCAGCACCCCUAAUACAAGGAAAAUUACAAGGUUAUCCAUUUUGACAUAGGGCAAUAAAAAACAAGCAAAAAAAGGGCAGCCACUCUUAAAUACUAGGUUCCUAACUAAAAUGAUUAAAAUUUUCCAAUGAACUGACAUGAUUAAAAUGACACAGAGGUUUUCACUUUCCCAGGGAAUAUAUAUACUGCCUAAAUAAUGCUAUAGCAGUUUUACUCACUACUUCCCUUCAGCUUCUAGAUUCAUGCUUCGGCAAUCAUACACAUAAACUCUUCAUAUUGAUAAUCAACUUGAUUAAGCUCAAAUGAAAACCGAUAAUCACCAGUGAAAAUUUGUCUGUGACCAAAUUAUAGGCCAUGCGCUAUUCUAAGAUGCAAUCCCAGAUUAUCGAGGGACAAACACAUGCUACUGGUUUAUGCAUGUAAAGGAUUGUCAUAGCUGAUUAAAAUAUGAGACUGUCCAAAAAAAAAAGGCUAUAGACUGAGAUUGAAUGAACCAAUAUACUGACCUAAAAAUAAAUUGAUAGUUAGAAUAAACUGACCUAAGCGAAUGAACAAAAGAGACGCCGGUGGGUAAACGAGAAACUCAGGAAACGCCGCCGAUUUAUGAGUUUGAAUUUCUUCUAUGAACGAACCCAAGAAACCCCGAAGAGGAAGGAGGAACAAACCCCAGAAACCCACGUGUUUGAAUGCCUCCGGUCUCAUGUGAAGAUCUGCUGUGAAGGAAUGAGGGAAGUAAGAGGGGGGAGAACAGUGAGCAGCGCCAAGGGUUCAAAUCCUAAAAUGA
Molecule: unclassified non-coding RNA, 1028 nt
Filed under: Hevea brasiliensis (rubber tree)
Lineage: Eukaryota; Viridiplantae; Streptophyta; Magnoliopsida; Malpighiales; Euphorbiaceae
Source: RNAcentral